GGACUACCCGGGUAUCUAAUCCUGUUUGCUACCCACGCUUUCGUGUCUCAGCGUCAGAAAUGGUCCAGAAAGCUGUCUACACCACGGGUGUUCCUCCUGAUAUCUACGCAUUUCACCGCUACACCAGGAAUUCCGCUUUCCUCUCCCAUCCUCAAGCAUUCCAGUUCCCGCCGCACCCUCCCAGUUAAGCCGGGAGAUUUCACGACAGACUUAGAACACCGCCUACACACUCUUUACGCCCAGUAAUUCCGAACAACGCUUGCUGCCUACGUAUUACCGCGGCGGCUGGCAC
This 292-nucleotide ribosomal RNA is filed under the name uncultured Acidobacteriota bacterium. RNAcentral describes it as "uncultured Acidobacteria bacterium partial 16S ribosomal RNA". The record is from RNAcentral. Lineage: Bacteria; Pseudomonadati; Acidobacteriota.